Long non-coding RNA from Acanthochromis polyacanthus (spiny chromis), 2397 nucleotides. RefSeq lists it as uncharacterized. NCBI's taxonomy places the organism in Eukaryota, Metazoa, Chordata, Actinopteri, Pomacentridae. The record is from RefSeq and is a predicted model, not a curated record. The transcript has 3 exons.
UGGUAGAAGUGAAGAAAAUGCAACAUUAGAUGAUACAGUAGGAUUUGAAUUUACAAAGAAACUGGUGAAAAAUAACAAAAAAAUAAGAUGUGAAAGGAAUAAAGGCAGAAAAAUGAAGAGAGGAAGAUAGAGAGAGGAAGAAACAGAGAUGGAAAAGAGGGGAGGAGUUAAAAGAGGAGAUAAAGAGGAUGGGAAAAGAGAAAGAAGAGGACAAGAGUGGGAACACAAAGAGAUGUGAAAGAAAGAAAGAAAGAAAUGAUGAGGAAUCAGUGAUUAGAGAAGCAGACAGUAAAGAAAACAAGGAAGAAGAGAAACAGUAGAGAUGAGCGCAGCUCGGAUUUACGACAAACAGAAGCUGAAGACGUUUUGGGAGCAGAAGAUCGUUGAACACAGCGAGCAGAUGGAUGAAGAGGAGGCUCGGAAAAGGAGCAGCGCUUUGGCUCGACUGAGGCAGCAGUGGGUGGUCCAGUUGGAUCAGAGGAACCAGCACCAGCAGAGUUUCUUUGAGGAACGAAUGAGACGAGCGCAGAAAACCCAGCAGAGCCUCAGAAAACUGGAUUCAGUCUGAAAUCGACGAGGAGAAGGUCACGAAAACCGACUUUCCCGCUCACCAGCCUGCAGGCGAAGUCAGUAUAAGGUUAAAGAAAGAUGUAAGGUCAAAGAAAAUGUACAACUCUUGGAUAAAAUUGAGGAAACAGUGAAGUAUCGAAGGUGAAAAAACAUGUUGAAGAGGAGUAAUGCUGCACUUCAUUCCUGCCUGGUGCUGUUGUGUAAUCAGUACUGCAUGGUUUGUGUUGUUGUUAAUUCUUACCAUGUAAUCAGUGAUCUUUAGUAAAUAAUUUCUCCUUCAGAUUUGGUGAUAUACAUGCUGUUUUUGACAUUUUAAAGAAAUUCUGUCAAACUCAAUUGAUUGUGAAAACGGCUCUUUAUUAUUCUGUUAAUGGUGGCCGCAGACCCACCUAGACGCCAAUAAUCAUCCUCUACAUCAAAGUUGGAACAUUUAGUUGUUUUUUCUCUGUGAAAGUUUGAGAUGCAUGGAGAAAUCACAAUAGAGCACCAUCUAGGAGAUGUGAAAUAUAAUAUAUGAAAUUAUAUGCGAUUUGAUUGUGAAAAUGUCUGUUUCUUCUGUUGGUCCUAGCAGCAGACCCACCUCUGGUUACCAUGAGAAUCCUCCAGAUGAAACUUGGAUUGUUUCAUUGUUUUUUCUCUGUGAAAGUUUGAGAUGCUUGGAGAAAUCACAAAGGAGAAUCUGCUAGUGGAUGCAAAAUAUAGUAUAAAAAUCCCAUGCAAGUUGAUUGUGAAAACGGCUGUUUCUUCUGUUGAUGGUGCAGACCCAAAUCCAAAAUGGAAGUUGGAUUAUUUAGUUGUUCUGUGCUUGUGAAAGUUUGAGACGCAUAGAAAAAUCAGAAAGGAGCACCUGCUAGUGGAUGCGAAAUAUAAUCUAUAAAAUCAUAUUCGAUUUGACUGUGAAACGGCUGUUUCUUCUGUUGACGGUACUUGCACACACACCUCUUGUUACCAUGAGGAUCCUCCACAUGAAAGUUGGAUUGUUUGGUUGUUUUUGUUGUCUGUGAGAGUUUGAGAUGCAUGGAGAAAUCACAAGGGAGCACUAGCUAGUAGAUUUGAAGUACAAUAUUGAAAAUCUCCUAUUUUUUGACUGUAAAAACGGCUUUCUCUUGUUGAUGGUAACUGCAGACCCACUUCUUGUUACCAUGAGGAUCCUCUACAUCAAGGCUGGAUUAUUCAGUUGUUCUUUGUUCCCUGUGAAACUUUGAAACACUUGGAGAAAUCACAAAGGAGCGCUGGCAAGUGGGCACAAAAUAUAAUAUAUAAAGUCACGCAUGAUUUGAUUGUGAAAACUGUUGUUUGUUCUUCUGAUGGUAGCUGCUGACCCAUCUUUUGUUACCAACGAUGCUCCUUUACAUAAAAGCUUGAUUAUUUAUUUUGCUUUUUGCUCUCUGAAAGUUUCAAAUGCAUAGAAAAAUCAGAAAGGAACAAAUGCUAAUGGAUGAAAAUGUAAUGUGGAAAAUCACGCACAAUUUGAUUUGACAAUUGUUGUUUCUUCUGCUGAUGGUAGCUGCAUCCACUUCUUGUUACCAUGAGGAUCCUCCACAUGAAAGUUGGAUUUUUUUGGUUGUUUUUGUUGUCUGUGAGAGUUUGAGAUGCAUGGAGAAAUCACAAGGGAGCACCUGCUAGUAGAUUCAAAAUAUAACAUUGAAAAUCUCAAGCUUUUUGACUGUGAAAAUGACUGUUUCUCCUGUUCAUGGUACUUGCAGACCCACCUGGUUUCCAUGAUGAGGCUCAGCAUAAAAGUGGAUUAUUUUGUUGUUUUUUUGUUCUCUGUGAAAGUUUGAGAUGCAUAGAAAAUAAUUAGAAAAUAUAUAAAAUCACACACGA